AACGAACGCUGGCGGCAUGCCUAACACAUGCAAGUCGAACGAGACCUCCGGGUCCUGUGGCGCAUGGGUGUGUAACGCGUGGGAACCUGCCCUUAGGUUCGGCAUAACUCUCCGACAGGGGUGCUAAUACCGGACAAUGUCUUCGGACCAAUGAUUUAUUGCCUUUGGAUGGACCCGCGUUGGAUUAGCUAGUUGGUAGGGUAAAAGCAUACCAAGGCGACAAUCCAUAGCUGGUUUGAGAGGAUGAUCAGCCACACUGAGACUGGGACACGGCCCAGACUCCUACGGGAGGCAGCAGUGGGGAAUAUUGGACAAUGGGCGAAAGCCUGAUCCAGCAAUGCCGCGUGAGUGAUGAAGGCCUUAGGGUUGUAAAGCUCUUUUACCCGGGAUGAUAAUGACAGUACCGGGAGAAUAAGCUCCGGCUAACUCCGUG
Molecule: ribosomal RNA, 433 nt
Filed under: uncultured bacterium
Lineage: Bacteria
Description: partial 16S ribosomal RNA
Rfam family: Bacterial small subunit ribosomal RNA
Source: RNAcentral